AAACAUAAUUCUAUAUGAUGAGAAAUACACACCCAUAAAUGCAUUUAGGAAGAGCCGGAAAAGGCAUGGCCUGUAUCGUCAAAUACGGCCGUCGGUGCUUAUACCUGGGUCUCUGAAAUCACAAAGAGGAAAAAAUU
Molecule: small nucleolar RNA, 137 nt
Filed under: Xylona heveae TC161
Lineage: Eukaryota; Fungi; Ascomycota; Xylonomycetes; Xylonales; Xylonaceae
Description: A. fumigatus snoRNA Afu_198
Rfam family: A. fumigatus snoRNA Afu_198
Source: Rfam by way of RNAcentral